AAUAGAUACCCCGGUAGUCCACGCCGUAAACGAUGGACACUAGGUGUGGGGGGUAUCGACCCCCUCCGUGCCGCAGCUAACGCAAUAAGUGUCCCGCCUGGGGAGUACGGCCGCAAGGCUAAAACUCAAAGGAAUUGACGGGGGCCCGCACAAGCAGCGGAGCGUGCGGUUUAAUUCGUCGCAACGCGAAGAACCUUACCAAGGCUUGACAUGCUAGUGGUACCGAUCCGAAAGGUGAGGGACCCUUCGGGGAGCUAGCACAGGUGCUGCAUGGCUGUCGUCAGCUCGUACCGUGAGGUGUUGGGUUAAGUCCCGCAACGAGCGUAACCCCUGUCCCAUGUUGCCAGCGAGUAAUGUCGGGGACUCAUGGGAGACUGCCGGUGACAAAUCGGAGGAAGGUGGGGAUGAUGUCAAGUCAUCAUGCCCCUUAUGUCCUGGGCUACACACGUGCUACAUUGGCCGGUACAAAGGGCUGCAAACCUGCGAGGGUGAGCGAAUCCCAAAAAGCCGGUCCGGUUCGGAUUGAAGGCUGAAACUCGCUUCAUGAA
Molecule: ribosomal RNA, 548 nt
Filed under: uncultured bacterium
Lineage: Bacteria
Description: bacterial SSU rRNA
Rfam family: Bacterial small subunit ribosomal RNA
Source: RNAcentral